Molecule: ribosomal RNA, 280 nt
Filed under: uncultured bacterium
Lineage: Bacteria
Description: partial 16S ribosomal RNA
Rfam family: Bacterial small subunit ribosomal RNA
Source: RNAcentral
AACGAACGCUGGCGGCAUGCCUAACACAUGCAAGUCGAACGAAGGCUUCGGCCUUAGUGGCGCACGGGUGCGUAACGCGUGGGAAUCUGCCCUUGGGUCUGGGAUAACAGUUGGAAACGACUGCUAAUACCGGAUGAUAUCGCGAGAUCAAAGAUUUAUCGCCCGAGGAUGAGCCCGCGUUGGAUUAGCUAGUUGGUGGGGUAAAGGCCUACCAAGGCGACGAUCCAUAGCUGGUCUGAGAGGAUGAUCAGCCACACUGGGACUGAGACACGGCCCAGAC